Molecule: ribosomal RNA, 492 nt
Filed under: uncultured bacterium
Lineage: Bacteria
Description: partial 16S ribosomal RNA
Rfam family: Bacterial small subunit ribosomal RNA
Source: RNAcentral
AGUGAACGCUGGCGGUAGGCCUAACACAUGCAAGUCGAACGGCAGCACAGUAAGAGCUUGCUCUUACGGGUGGCGAGUGGCGGACGGGUGAGGAAUACAUCGGAAUCUACUUUUUCGUGGGGGAUAACGUAGGGAAACUUACGCUAAUACCGCAUACGACCUACGGGUGAAAGCAGGGGAUCUUCGGACCUUGCGCGAUUGAAUGAGCCGAUGUCGGAUUAGCUAGUUGGCGGGGUAAAGGCCCACCAAGGCGACGAUCCGUAGCUGGUCUGAGAGGCUGAUCGGCCACACUGGAACUGAGACACGGUCAAGACUCCUACGGGAGGCAGCAGUGGGGAAUAUUGGACAAUGGGCGCAAGCCUGAUCCAGCCAUACCGCGUGGGUGAAGAAGGCCUUCGGGUUGUAAAGCCCUUUUGUUGGGAAAGAAAAGCAGCAGGUUAAUACCCCGCUGUUCUGACGGUACCCAAAGAAUAAGCACCGGCUAACUUCGUG